Molecule: ribosomal RNA, 498 nt
Filed under: Listeria monocytogenes
Lineage: Bacteria; Bacillati; Bacillota; Bacilli; Caryophanales; Listeriaceae
Description: partial 23S ribosomal RNA
Rfam family: Bacterial large subunit ribosomal RNA
Source: RNAcentral
GCUUGCUUCUUGGGGUUGUAGGACACUCUAUACGGAGUUACAAAAGAAAGUUAUAAAUGAAGCGGUCUGGAAAGGCCCGCCAAAGACGGUAACAGCCCGGUAGUUGAAAUGGCUUUCCCUCCAGAGUGGAUCCUGAGUACGGCGGAACACGUGAAAUUCCGUCGGAAUCCGGGAGGACCAUCUCCCAAGGCUAAAUACUCCCUAGUGACCGAUAGUGAACCAGUACCGUGAGGGAAAGGUGAAAAGCACCCCGGAAGGGGAGUGAAACAGUUCCUGAAACCGUGUGCCUACAAGUAGUUAGAGCCCGUUAAUGGGUGAUAGCGUGCCUUUUGUAGAAUGAACCGGCGAGUUACGAUUUGUUGCAAGGUUAAGCGGAAAAAGCGGAGCCGUAGCGAAAGCGAGUCUGAAUAGGGCGCAUAAGUAACAGGUCGUAGACCCGAAACCAGGUGAUCUACCCAUGUCCAGGAUGAAGGUAAGGUAAUACUUACUGGAGGUCCG